UUGAGUGCGGGGCCCUGUGCAGUUUGUAGACGGAGAGGAAUAUAUGGAAACAUAGGGCAGAGUCAGCUUGCUAUUAAGUCACCAAAGGCCUGCAGGUACUGUUUACUGGGACAAUGGGAAAGCCCUUGACCAACCUGCAGCACAAUCCGCACAAGGCCAGUGACUGUUCCUUGCCACAUAGUAUUGCAUGCUUUUAUUUGGGAUUAUCAGAGCACUAAAAGUUCCCAGAGGAACAGCAUUGUUCUUCCUGUUUACGGAAUGUCAUUUUUGACCAAUAGUUGGGUUUCACAAACAAGAAGUAGGUAAUUAAAACAGCAUGUCAUGCCUUUGAUUUACUCAUAAGUUGAAAGUGCAGCCAUCAGUAAGGUGAGGGAAGAGAGCUAAUUUCUUGCUUAGCACUCUAG
This 404-nucleotide long non-coding RNA is filed under the name Bos taurus (domestic cattle). RNAcentral describes it as "long non-coding RNA NONBTAT024068". Lineage: Eukaryota; Metazoa; Chordata; Mammalia; Artiodactyla; Bovidae. The record is from RNAcentral.